AGAGAAUGGAGAUUACCAACAAAUCAUAUAUGGCUGUUCUCAACAAGGAAAUCAGUUACUUCCUUCUUUGCUGCGUUUGAUGCACUCUGUGAGGAAGGUACAGCAACCUCCGUUUGCCAGGCUCUUGCUGAAGUUGCUGACAUUUCUGUACCUGGAUCAAAAGACCAUAUAAAAGUGCAGGGUGAAAUUUUGGAGGGCCUCGUAGCACGCAUUGUAAAACGUGAGAGCUCAGAGCAUAUGGAGCGGGUUCUGAGAGAUUUUCCUGCUCCUCCAUUAGAGGGUGAGGGUUUGGACUUGGGACCUACGCUGCGUGAGGUUU
Molecule: unclassified non-coding RNA, 319 nt
Filed under: Hevea brasiliensis (rubber tree)
Lineage: Eukaryota; Viridiplantae; Streptophyta; Magnoliopsida; Malpighiales; Euphorbiaceae
Source: RNAcentral